GAACUAGUUGCAUUUGCUGUGGAGUUUCCGGCUGUUGAGUUAUUGGGAGUGAUUUGCGGAAAAACAGGACUCGUCCAGGCCAGAGCAGUUCCGGCAGCAACCGCUCCCAAGCAAACUGCCGCAAGAUAUUGGCGUGACUUCGAAGUCCUCCCCACGCCUUCCUGGAGGAGAUCGUAGUUCAUCGGAUCGCGAGAAUUCUGAUCACCAUCCUCUUGACUGACAGUCUGCAAAGGGAAAAAGACGGUCUUGAGUAAUUGCCUUUAGUAUAAUUUAUCUCUAUCCAUAAUGAUUACAAUUGCUGCUCUGUUUGGUUUCCUCGCUGGCCUAGUUACGAUAAUAUUCAAAUUGCUUGUGUUCCUUUGGACUUUGAUAAAAUCAAUACAUACUAGUAUUAAAAUAGCUAGAUCUUUAAAGAAAAUUCCGACAGUAAGCGAUAUUAAGACUCAAUUUAAAGAGAUGUCAGUUGGCAAAGUCCAAACUAUAGUAAAGGAAAAGUUAAAUAGGUCUUGAAAAACAUAUUCUUAUAAAUAAAAUAUAUAUUGGCUACAGCAA
This is a long non-coding RNA of Drosophila rhopaloa, 552 nucleotides long. RefSeq lists it as uncharacterized. Lineage: Eukaryota; Metazoa; Arthropoda; Insecta; Diptera; Drosophilidae. The transcript has 2 exons. The record is from RefSeq and is a predicted model, not a curated record.